Haliotis rubra (blacklip abalone) is the source of this 996-nucleotide long non-coding RNA. RefSeq lists it as uncharacterized. The record is from RefSeq and is a predicted model, not a curated record. The transcript is spliced from 3 exons. NCBI's taxonomy places the organism in Eukaryota, Metazoa, Mollusca, Gastropoda, Lepetellida, Haliotidae.
GAUAGUUCUUGAUUUGCCAGCACAAAGCCAGUCCACAGUUAUAACCUGUUUUCUCUGAUGAUGGUUUUUGGUUUGCCUGCACCAUGCCAGUCCAGUUAUAAUCUGUCUUGGUUUGCCUGCACUGUGCCAGUCCAGCUAUAACCUGUCUUGGUUUGCCUUCACUGUGCCAGUCCAGCUAUAACCUGUCUUGGUUUGCCUGCACUGUGCCAGUCCAGUUAUAACCUGUCUUGGUUUGCCUGCACUGUGCCAGUCCAGUUAUAACCUGUCUUGUUAUAAUCUGUCUUGGUUUGCCUGCACUGUGCCAGUCCAGUUAUAACCUGUCUUGGUUUGCCUGCACUGUGCCAGUCCAGUUAUAACCUGUCUUGGUUUGCCUGCACUGUGCCAGUCCAGUUAUAACCUGUCUUGGUUUGCCUGCACUGUGCCAGUCCAGUUAUAAUCUGUCUUGGUUUGCCUGCACUGUGCCAGUCCAGUUAUAACCUGUCUUGGUUUGCCUGCACUGUGCCAGUCCAGUUAUAACCUGUCUUGUUAUAAUCUGUCUUGGUUUGCCUGCACUAUGCCAGUCCAGUUAUAACCUGUCUUGGUUUGCCUGCACUGUGCCAGUCCAGUUAUAACCUGUCUUGGUUUGCCUGCACUGCGGGAUCCGGUGGUCAGUUUCGCUGACUUGGUUGACACAUGUCAUCGGUUCCCAAUUGCGCAGAUCGAUGCUCAUGCUGUUGAUCACUGGAUUGUCUGGUCCAGACUCGAUCAUUUACAGACCGCCGCCAUAUAGCUGGAAUAUUGCUGAGUGCGGCGUAAAACUAAACUCACUCACUCACUAAUUGCCUGCACUGUGCCAGUCCAGUUAUAACCUGUCUUGGUUUGCCUGCACUGUGCCAGUCCAGCUAUAACCUGUCUUGGUUUGCCUGCACUGUGCCAGUCCAGUUAUAACCUGUCUUGGUUUGCCUGCACUGUGCCAGUCCAGUUAUAACCUGUCUUGGUUUGCCUGCACUGUGCCAG